GGACCGGCCUAAACCGGCGCGAGCAGAUCCCCAGCCAGCCGCCAGCCGCUCAUAUACAUACAGUAUACAUUACACCGCCGCAUUCGCUCAGCAGCUCCGCUCGCAGCCUAGCCUGGCGGCGGGGGAGGAGGCAGGCUGAGGCGCCGCCCGCCCCUCGCCUUCCGGUCCGCUCGCACCGCACGGCCGCGCCGCCGGCUCGCCGCGGCCCCGGGCUGCCCCGCGCUACGUGCGAGGCGGCCCCCGCGCCCCCCGGCCGUCACAGGGAGGCAGUUGCGGACCGUGACAGCCGCCGCGCGGGGAGAGGCCGGGGGGGAGGGGAGGCGGCGGAGUGAGGGACGUGACCGGCCGCAGAGCGCCAUGUCCCGGCGGCCGCCCCGGCUCGCAGCCCCUGUGGCGGCCCGGCCGGUACCGCCGCUGCCCCUCGCCGUAGACGGGCUCCCCAGAGAGAGGGGGGCGCCGUGCCCAGCGCCCCGAGCCGCCAAGGCCACGGCUGCCAGGCAGGCCCCCUUCCCUGCCAGCGGGGCCAGGGCGGCGGCGUCCCCCUAGUAGAGCGGCGCCCCGGCCUCGGCGUCAGCACGCCCGGAGCGACCCGCGGGCCGGCGGCGAGCUCCCACCGAGGCCGCGACCGGACCCCUGACCGGGGGGCGCGUGAGACAGCGGCAGCUGGCGAGCGGAAGACCGCUCCCGGCGAGGAAAAAAAAAUAGCAAAUCUUGCUAAUAUCACUGUGACAAAACGAUAUUGCAUUUCGAAGAUACAGUAUUAAUUAACUGCAAAUCUUUAUGAAAAAGCGCCAUUAAAGGGCAGGUAGUUUAAGAAAGUCCUGUUUGCAGGCACUUUGCAGAUGCACCUCAGUACGGUUUUAACAUCAAGCAAGUGUCCAUAUAAUGGAACAGAAAUCCCAAGAAGGUACUCUGCAUCUUCUCGUCCUUAGAAAUAGAGGAUUUUAUAGCCUACAUACUGAAAGAGAUAAACCAAGAUGAUGCAAAGAUGCGACUUCUUCCAGAAAAAUGUCUGCAAAUAAUGAAUUAGUAAGUAAAAAUCUUACCUCUUUCGUGCCCAAUUAGGAUGUCCUUAUGGUUGAAAUAUUCUACUUCUUCAGUGUAAUUUUGUGUAUAGGCAGUGUUGGAUCCAGCAUUUCUAGAUUCAGUCCAACGUACUUUUGCAUGUCCUCUUGCAUGAAUUUUAAGAGAUUUUACUCUAAUUUCCCCAGUAACUUCUAAAUUGACCCUUCCUGAGACUGUGUCCCCGCUAGAAUAGACGGGGACAUUGCUGUCAUUGAGACAGUCAAAGCUUAUUGUCAAACUCUUCACCUUCCCCAGCACCAUGUUUUAUAACAAAGUGUAUAAAAAUAUACUGUAAGAAAAAAAAAGUCAAGAUCUCAUAUAAAAUGCGAUCUUCACUUCACACUGAUCAACGCCUCUGCCGUGCAAAGAGCUUGCCGGCAGGACCAGCGUGUGCCCUACCAGCCCGUCAUCGGGAUUGCCUGGAAAGCCCCAGCCCUCGCGGCUGCCGGCGGCGCGGCGCGGCGCGGCUGCCCGGCGCUGCGGUCUCCCUACAAAGACGGCUGCUGCGCGCUGCCACCUCACUUUAAGAGCAGCUUUGUGAAAAACAACCCCGCCGCGCAUGCGCGGCUCCGCCGGCGGCGGCUUCCUCCGCGGCUGCGCGCCCCCGCGCUGCCGUGCGCGCUCCUCGCGCGUGGGGCCGCGCGGCGGUGCUGAGGUGGGCGCUGGGGAGCCGGGAGGGGCGCAGCGGCGGCCGGAGGCGCGGGCUCCCCCUCGGGAGGGCCCGGGGGGCUCGUCGCGCUGCUGAGCGGGGCCCGGCCGGGAGGAGCCGCGGCGGAAGCGGCGGCGCGGGGUGGGCGGCGAGCGCGGCCCCUGGGCCCGGCGGCGGCCGGCGCGGCGCGGCCCCUCGGCCGCGGGCUGCCCCGUUAGCGCACGUAGCCGCGGCCCUGCCACGGACAGCCUGGAGAAGACGCUCGGCUUUUCGCUCAGCUGCAGAUGUCGCCCAAGCUUUCUGCCGGCGAAGAGGCCGGCCCCGGGCAGGCUGCAGGCCGGGAGCCGGGCCGCCCCGGCCCGCCUGUGCCCCCGGCGCCUCGCGGAGGGGGAGGGAACGGGCUGCCGCCAGGACGAAGGGGAGAAAGGCUUUCGGCUUUAGUUUCCUUUAAGACAGUGAUCUCUAAGUGAAUCUUUGGAUUCGCUGCACAGACUCGAAAAACGCAGCUCAUCUCCUUUCCAAAUGACUGAAAAAAAUCAGCUUGGCACCGGGGGAUGUCUUUGAUGAUAAUCUUGUUUCCAAAAGGGAGCCUUUAUGCAAAAGCAAACAUUUAAAUGUCUACCACGGUGAAGUUUCCUAUGUUAAUACUUUUAAAUGUAGUUGUUGUACAGUAGCUUAGUUUGGGGUUUGGUUUGCUUGUUUUGCUGUUAUUGUUUUUUAUUUUUGUGGUGCCUUUUCUUGGAUAAACAUUCUAGAUUAAAUUAUUAAAUGCUACAUUUCUAUUUUUUACCUUUGUUAGUGACAUAAGAUUUUCAACAAGACAUAUAAUGUAGGUGCUUAAUAUUUAACAAACUAGUGUGUGUUGCGAGUCGUAUUUUUUUCUAGGUCAGCGAAGUACAUAACUAAAAUGAAGUUCAGACCAGCAGUUAUAUUUUGAAGCAGUAUGCCUGUAUAUACUCGUUUUCCCAAGUAAAAAGUCAUUCAUAUUUUCCCUCGCCUGACACCUGGUGGAGAUUCUCAUACUUAAAAACCGAAAAGCAGAAAAUGUUCAGCAAUGUACUUCUGGUAUGUUAGAACUUUCUGUGUUUUUGCACCAUCUUGUGGUAAAUAGCCAUACUUACCUAGACAACUUGCAAAAGAAGUUGAGGUAUUUCAUUCUUUUUCUGGUAAUAAUUUUACUUUUGUUAUCACAUCUUUAGAUGCAGAUGGUUUCAUACUACUGUUUAUUUGCAUGUUUUUCCUUUUUUCUACAAGGUAGAAGAUAAUCUUUUCUUCCACAGUCACAGAUCCCACCAGUCUGUGUGUUUGGAUUUGCUAUAGGACAUAUGAGAGCUAACAGCCAAAUGGGAUGCUACUUCUGUGCCUCCCUCCAUGGAGUUCAGGCAGGAAAGUCACAACUCCUGUCCUUCAGGUUCUGGGUUCAUUGUCACCAUGUACCGCUGUCAGUGUGGAUCUGCAAAGAUUUGAAGUGCACAGCAGUUACCUUCUGCAGAUCCAGUUAAGAUCUAUGAAGGUUAAAGACUCAAGUGAAUGUUCAUAUGGAUAUUUUUUGUAUACUUGAUGAUAAAGAAGAGGACCUUUUUACAUGAUUGAAAUAUGGCAUAUGAUAUUUUCUCAUUUAUUUCUUAAAUAGUCUAUGUAUUUUGUGUGCUUACUAGAUUUGCACAUUUCAGGCUUGUUGGAGAAGAUAAAAUGUUUUGUUAAGCUGGUGUAGGCCCCUCUUCCUGCAUGUGACCUCAAGAUAGUGUAGCCUUAACUUGCCUCCCCGACCAGCAGAAUUGCUGUCUUUCGCCAAGCCAUUUCUGGACACACAAGAAUAACAUGGCUGCCAUCAUGGCAUGGGAUGAGUUCUAAGCAUUUCAUGUGAGUAGGCUGUUGGGAAGAUCCUACUAUUUUUCAGCUUUUUAGCCAAGUUCUGGUAUGUUAGAUUUGAGCAAUUUGCAGACAGUUGGAGUCCUGAUCAUAUGGCAUACUGGACAGCAGACAGCUCUUUCCAGUUCUUGGAUUAUUUGGAGAAAAAUGCGGUAGAGAGUAACCCUAUUUCUCAGACAUAUUGGACAUGUUGAGAACACUGGUAAAUCUAAGUUUCAUUGCAGUGGUGAGACAGGUCCAAUUCAUUGCAAUUUCUGAGGCUACUGGCAUAGUUCAGACUUCCUGGAAGCUUUUGUAAUCACAUAGAAGUGAGUCCAUUGAAAUUACUAGGACAUUUGGAUAUCCAUGCAAUGCAAAAUUCCACAAUCUUUGAAGCUCUCUAAUUUUCAUAUAUUGCUAUGCUGCUGUUCUGAGUUAAUUAAAAAAUAUCUUGAGUGAUCAGAUAUGCUGAUUUACAUGAAAGUGACCUAGUUUUCAAGGCUGGUUCUAAAUUCCUGUUAAAGCUUGGUGGAAAAAAUUAUAAAUCAAUUCCAUACUAACUCUGAUCUGUAUGCACUCAAAGCAUCUAAGCCAAGCUCUACUCUUCUUUGAAAUAAUGACCUUCCUUUUCCUCGUGCCCCACUCAGGAAACUUUCCUCCAGUUUUUUCGUUAUUCCCUCUUUUCCCUAAAAAGCAUGGAUCGCCUUCCUGCAGCCCCUCACCUCUGUGCCGUUUGGGUAAGGAGAAUGGAUUGGAAAAAGCAUUUCCUGUAUCGCAUCCUGUUGGUUCUGGUGGGUACAGCUACAAAUUCCCAGUUCACAAGGUUUUGGUAUGAAUCUAACAAUGUUUGGUGUGAUAGAUUUGGGAUUGAUUUGACUCUGUAAGAAUCUCAUCUCAGGUAAACAUGUUUAGACCUGAUGAGUUCAGAAUAGAGUUUGUGAAGAGCUUUGAAUUCACCAAAGUAGCUCAGAAAUCCAAAGACAAAUGAAACAAGUUGUUUAUGAAUCAGUCUCAUAUAUAUAUAUAUAUAUAUGUGAAAAACAUAUGUAUAUACAAAAAAGUCUCCCUCUAAAUCUGCCUGAUGAUUUCUGAAAGCUGGGGAAUAAUGCAGCAACUCAACCACCAAAACAUGCUGAUCUAGUUUCUGUCCCUGCCUUUUAUCUGCUUCUGCUUGCUAUCCUGCCUGCCAUCCAUCCAGCUUGGCUCUCACCCACCUAAUUCUCCUCCCCAUGUCUCAAAUUGCUACCGAUUCAGUUUGGUCAAAUGUGAGCUGCUUAGCCCUUCUUUCAGCUCACCACCCACAUUUCCUUCUACCCUGUUUCACCCAUGUUAGGUUGUCUUGACUUGUCUGGGCCUGUUUCUCACCAGAGAUGCAGCCCACUUUCUCUCUGCUGCUCUUCUGUCUUUCUGGUCCUACAUAGAUUUGUUUCUAGCCGCCUUAUAUAUCACCUCACCAUUAUGUACAGUUAUAUGUAAUUUGAAUUUGGAGCACUAGCAGAUUAAUAUAGGCUGGCACUUGUGAUGUAGUUAGGCAUGUGUUACGAAAUAAAAUGUAGAAGUUUUGUAUAAUGACUUUGUAUUCACAUGUAUUCAUGCGUUUCUCUUGUCCUGACAGUAGUCAUUCAUCCAUUCAGUUGUUAUAACUUGUUUUUUUUCAAUGUUUGUGAUAGUAUGCUGUUCAUUUAUAUUUCUGUAUUGCUAAUAAUUUUUAUGUUCUAUGCCAUCUUGCGGCAAAUACGGUGAACUGCUUGCCAUGUCAUUUAGCAGCUUUUUGCCCAUGCACUCCUGUAAACCUGCCAUACAUCAUUUAUGUCUUUGUGCCCUUGGCAAGCUACCUUUCCAAAUUUUUCUCAGUUUAGCUCUCUGAGGCCCAUUAACAUUCACUCCUGUGCUUUGACUUACUGAGAAUCACCUCUGUCUUCUCCUCUUCCUAUUACAGAUUUUCCCUGUUUAUCAUUUUUAGCACCUGGUUAUUAAACACAGUGUAAUUUCUGCUCGUGUAGAGUGGUAUCCAUGCACCUGCUAUUAGGAAAAUAAGACAAAACCUGAAGUUAAGCACUCUUGACUAUAGGCAACAUUUUCUAAAGCUGUUAAGUGACUUAGAUUCUAAAUUUCUAAGGGUUGCAAGAGGUACAUAUUCAACUCUUAAACCGUAUGUUUGUUUUUGAAAAUUUUGUCUUAGACUCUGAGUUGUAAUUACAACAUCUGCAUGAUACUGUCACUGAAAAAGUAUUAUUUAAAUUGAAAUCAAAAUGUCAGUUAUUAAAAGCUACAUUGCCAGUAAAAUAAAAUCAAAUCCUUUUAAUUUAAA
Molecule: long non-coding RNA, 5876 nt
Organism: Dromaius novaehollandiae (emu)
Lineage: Eukaryota; Metazoa; Chordata; Aves; Casuariiformes; Dromaiidae
Exons: 2
Source: RefSeq, a predicted model, not a curated record